Molecule: ribosomal RNA, 253 nt
Filed under: uncultured bacterium
Lineage: Bacteria
Description: partial 16S ribosomal RNA
Rfam family: Bacterial small subunit ribosomal RNA
Source: RNAcentral
UACGUAGGUGGCAAGCGUUGUCCGGAUUUACUGGGCGUAAAGGGCGUGCAGGCGGUUUGUUUAGUCUAGGGUGAAAGCUCCCGGCUUAACUGGGAGAGGUCCUUGGAUACUGGCAAACUUGAGGGAGGCAGAGGAAAGUGGAAUUCCCGGUGUAGUGGUGAUAUGCGUAGAUAUCGGGAGGAACACUAGUGGCGAAGGCGGCUUUCUGGGCCUUACCUGACGCUGAGACGCGAAAGCGUGGGGAGCGAACCGG